GACCCAUAGCUACUCCAUCCCGAGUAGCCAUGGGCUUACCAUAGAAGGAACAAACUCUUAAUCUUAGAACUGCUUUAGGCAGUGGGCGUGAUGGUUAAAAACUCGGCCUUUGGCGUCGACCUCAGACGGAGAUCUACCAAUUAGGAAAUUAGCUGUGAUUUAGAAAAUUUAAUAUUUCGAUGCCAUACUUUCCUAAUCUGCAAAAUUUUUGUAAAUACCUGUGACCUAGUGUCGUGAGCGCUUAGCAACACCUGACACCCACUAAGCUCUCAGCCAGUGGUUCUGAAAGUGGUUCUAGACCAGCAACAACAGCAGUAGCAGCAGCACCUGUGAACUUGUUAGAAAUGCAAAGUUUCAGGCCCAUUCCAGUUCUACUGAAUCUGAAACUCGAAGGGAACAGCAACCUAUGUUUUAAUAAACCCCAAGGUAUAUACCCAGUGACAUGAAUCCUGGAUCAUAAGACAGAAACAAUGUGUUACUACAUUUUUGUUGCUGGGGAAAAGAACUGACUUGAUGUACUUCCUCAGAAGAGAGACCGAACACCAGGAAAGAAAAUACAGAUUUCCCCAGACUCUACCUGCUAUCACCAUUUUGUUGUAAUACACCUUAACUCAGAGUAAACAGAAGAGUCCAAGAACCUCUGGUUGUUUGCAGAUGGUCGCCAGAGAACCAUGAUGACAAAGAGGAUCAUGGAGAACAGCAAGCGCCAGAUGGCAUCGUCUACCCACAGCUCCCGCCAGUCCUACAAUACAGGGGAGAAGUACAACAUUUAUACACAUUAUCUUAACCCCUUGUUCAUAAAGCCUUUGGCAUAGAACAAAAA
RNAcentral lists this long non-coding RNA (823 nucleotides) under Homo sapiens (human). RNAcentral describes it as "VPS39 divergent transcript (VPS39-DT)". The record is from RNAcentral. Lineage: Eukaryota; Metazoa; Chordata; Mammalia; Primates; Hominidae.